Long non-coding RNA from Gossypium arboreum, 1181 nucleotides. RefSeq lists it as uncharacterized. Lineage: Eukaryota; Viridiplantae; Streptophyta; Magnoliopsida; Malvales; Malvaceae. The record is from RefSeq and is a predicted model, not a curated record. The transcript is spliced from 2 exons.
UCAAAAGUUGACACAUAAUUAAAAUUUUAUUUUCCCUUAAUUUAACUAAAAAACUGAAAAAAUAAAAAUAAAUUAAAAGUAUCCUCUCUCUCCAUCUUCAUCUUCCCCAUCUCCAUCCACCAUUUCCCUUCCCCUUCCCUCUCUCAAACAGAACCAACAUCAUUCCCUCCCCCCUCUCUCUGCUCCAAACCAUCACCAUAAACCUCAAAAAGAAAAAAAAAAACUAAAACAAAACUAGUAGUUUGCAAAAGAAACCCAAUCCAAGCUUUGACUGAAACAACUCGUGAGUUUAAAGCAUUCUUGGCUGAUGAAAAACCUGAAUACUGAAUGGAAGACGGCAAUAAGUUUGGCGAUUUAUCCUUCUCUAUUUUUUAGAAAAAAAAUAAAAAAGAAAACUCUAAAUUUUGAGUUGAAUCUCCAAUUAUAUUUUUGAAAUAAAACCCAAGCAGAAACAAAAACCAUAAGAAAAGCAAAGAUCUAAAAUUCUCUCUCUGAAAUAUCUAUUCUCUCAUGAAGUAUAUCAGAGAAGGGGACUGGACUUGUGCGCCGGUUCUGCCGGCGGUGGCUGAUCGGAGGGUCAAAAUUACAGGUCCUGUGGAGAGGAAGAUGAUCAACAGCGCUCUUAACUCGGGAGCUACAGUGUUUAUGGGAAACAAUAAGGGCUCAAACUCGAGGAGAAUGUUAUUUAGAGUGAGUAUCAAAACACAAAUGCCAUGGAAGUUAUGAUAUCCUCGAAGGUGUUGAAGUGAAGAAAUGAAGUCAUUUUCCAGUGGUAUCGCGGCAUUGAGGGAUGGUAUUGCGACACCGAGACCCCCAAGACCCCGAUUUAGCUACUGUUUUGGGUAUUACGACACUGAAGGUUGGGCGUUGCGAUACCGUUGCCAGGAGCAAUUUUGUGUCCAAGCAAGCUUAAGUCUUUUUUUCAUUUGAGGGCAUAAUGGUUAAUGCUAGGUUAAAUGUUAGUAUAUUACAAAUUCUACUUUAUAAGUUUUGGAAGGCAGAUUUUUGUAGGCCGAACAUUGCCCUUUAGUUUUUCAUAGUUUUAGGUUAGGUUUUCUUUUCUUUUCAUUUUUAUAUUAGGUUUAGAAUAUAUUUUAUUUUUGUUGUUUUCUAUUUCUUCUUUUAAAUUUACAAAAAUAGACUUUAAAAUUGCUUACAUGCAAGGGCCGAUUAUUGAACUA